This is a small nuclear RNA of Aotus nancymaae (Ma's night monkey), 141 nucleotides long. Its record names the gene U4. It matches the Rfam family "U4 spliceosomal RNA". Rfam says of the family: U4 small nuclear RNA (U4 snRNA) is a component of the major U2-dependent spliceosome. The structure of U4 snRNA from yeast and human has been reported. U4 snRNA presents a k-turn RNA motif in the 5p-SL related to recognition of Snu13 protein. The record is from Ensembl. NCBI's taxonomy places the organism in Eukaryota, Metazoa, Chordata, Mammalia, Primates, Aotidae.
AGCUUUGUGCAGUGGCAGUAUCGUAGCCAAUGAGGUUUAUCUGAGGCAUGAUUAUUGCUAAUUGAAAACUUUUCCCAAUACCCCACCAUGAAAACUUGAAAUAGAGUUGGCAUUGGCAAUUUUUGACAGUCUCUAAGGAGA